Long non-coding RNA from Suricata suricatta (meerkat), 471 nucleotides. RefSeq lists it as uncharacterized. The transcript has 2 exons. The record is from RefSeq and is a predicted model, not a curated record. NCBI's taxonomy places the organism in Eukaryota, Metazoa, Chordata, Mammalia, Carnivora, Herpestidae.
CUUGAGCUCUACCUUCCCAAGUUCUCCAUUGAGGGCUCCUACCAGCUGGAGAAAGUCCUCCCCGCGCUGGGCGUCAGUGACGUCUUCACCUCCCACGCCGACCUGACUGGCGUCACCAGCCACGCCAGCAUCCGGGUGACUGAGAUGGUGCACAAGGCCGUCGUGGAGGUGGACGAGUCGGGGACCAAAGCAGCUGCAGCCACAGGGACAGUGUUCAAGUUCAGGUCGGCCGCUUUUAGCUCUCAAAGGGUCAUCUUCAACAGGCCCUUCCUGAUGCUCAUUGUCGAGAACUUCACAAACAUCCUCUUUUUAGGCAAAGUGACCCAGCCCUGAGGUGGGGGUUUCCCCUGAAAGGCCGCAAGCCUCCGUAGCGGAAGUUGAAGGCUCCUUGUGGCCUCUGUCCGCUGGGAACUGAUGAUUUACACAGGUUUCAUUGUCUGAAGCUAUCACAAGUAAUAAUAAUAGCAUUGA